RNAcentral lists this ribosomal RNA (253 nucleotides) under uncultured bacterium. Its description in RNAcentral is "partial 16S ribosomal RNA". It matches the Rfam family "Bacterial small subunit ribosomal RNA", at positions 524 to 776 of the family's 1533-position model. The record is from RNAcentral.
UACGAAGGGGGCUAGCGUUGCUCGGAAUCACUGGGCGUAAAGGGUGCGUAGGUGGGUUGGUAAGUCAGUGGUGAAAUCCCCGAGCUUAACUUGGGAACUGCCAUUGAUACUAUUAAUCUUGAAUACCGUGGAGGUUAGCGGAAUAUGUCAUGUAGCGGUGAAAUGCUUAGAUAUGACAUAGAACACCAAUUGCGAAGGCAGCUGGCUACACGAAUAUUGACACUGAUGCACGAAAGCGUGGGGAUCAAACAGG